AAUAGAUACCCCGGUAGUCCACGCCGUAAACGAUGAGUGCUAAGUGUUAGGGGGUUUCCGCCCCUUAGUGCUGCAGCUAACGCAUUAAGCACUCCGCCUGGGGAGUACGGUCGCAAGACUGAAACUCAAAGGAAUUGACGGGGGCCCGCACAAGCGGUGGAGCAUGUGGUUUAAUUCGAAGCAACGCGAAGAACCUUACCAGGUCUUGACAUCCCAUUGACCGCUAUGGAGACAUAGCUUUCCCUUCGGGGACAGUGGUGACAGGUGGUGCAUGGUUGUCGUCAGCUCGUGUCGUGAGAUGUUGGGUUAAGUCCCGCAACGAGCGCAACCCUUGUUCUUAGUUGCCAUCAUUUAGUUGGGCACUCUAAGGAGACUGCCGGUGACAAACCGGAGGAAGGUGGGGAUGACGUCAAAUCAUCAUGCCCCGUUAUGACCUGGGCUACACACGUGCUACAAUGGACGGUACAAACGGUUGCCAACCCGCGAGGGGGAGCUAAUCCGAUAAAACCGUUCUCAGUUCGGAUUGUAGGCUGCAACUCGCCUAC
This 545-nucleotide ribosomal RNA is filed under the name uncultured bacterium. RNAcentral describes it as "bacterial SSU rRNA". It matches the Rfam family "Bacterial small subunit ribosomal RNA", at positions 777 to 1319 of the family's 1533-position model. The record is from RNAcentral.